Molecule: long non-coding RNA, 437 nt
Filed under: Elaeis guineensis (African oil palm)
Lineage: Eukaryota; Viridiplantae; Streptophyta; Magnoliopsida; Arecales; Arecaceae
Description: long non-coding RNA (EGUI_LNC052929)
Source: RNAcentral
UUUGGUAGUGAGAUAUAUUAUGAUCCCUAUCAUAAUAUCAUCAAAACUCUUUUCAAUAGAUUGGAACCAUUCCAACUCUGCCCAUCAAAGAUUAUCGAUCAUUGAGAUGAUGCUCAUGGGUCUCACAAUCCAUCAAUGACAUCUAGCAGUAUGUAGUGGUAAUCUAGUAGAAUAAAAGGUGAUGAAUCUUUAGAUGUAGUUAACGUAUGAUACAGUUCCUCUAUCGUGAGUUCCGACCAGAUGACAGAUUUUGGAUGAAUUAUUAAAUCUCAUCAUCGAUCAUAUGAUAGAUUUAAUUAGCUCGAGUUCAUGUAUAAUUCUCUUGAAAACUCAUUUUCAUCAAUCACAUUGCUAUGGCCAUAGACUUAAAGACUCAGCUUCUUAAAUCCCAUAGGACUACUUCCUUCUGCUAGGAUCGAUAGAUUCCAUCUAGGUGC